This 384-nucleotide ribosomal RNA is filed under the name uncultured bacterium. RNAcentral's name for it is "bacterial SSU rRNA". It matches the Rfam family "Bacterial small subunit ribosomal RNA", at positions 28 to 414 of the family's 1533-position model. The record is from RNAcentral.
GACGAACGCUGGCGGCGUGCUUAACACAUGCAAGUCGAGCGGUAAGGCCCUUUCGGGGGUACACGAGCGGCGAACGGGUGAGUAACACGUGGGUGACCUGCCCUCAGCUCUGGGAUAAGCCUGGGAAACCGGGUCUAAUACUGGAUAUGACUCCAUGACGCAUGUUGUGGGGUGGAAAGCCUUGUGCGGCUGAGGAUGGGCCCGCGGCCUAUCAGCUUGUUGGUGGGGUGAUGGCCUACCAAGGCGACGACGGGUAGCCGGCCUGAGAGGGCGCCGGCCACACUGGGACUGAGACACGGCCCAGACUCCUACGGGAGGCAGCAGUGGGGAAUCUUGCGCAAUGGGCGAAAGCCUGACGCAGCGACGCCGCGUGAGGGAUGACGG